This 446-nucleotide ribosomal RNA is filed under the name uncultured bacterium. RNAcentral's name for it is "SSU rRNA". It matches the Rfam family "Bacterial small subunit ribosomal RNA", at positions 26 to 518 of the family's 1533-position model. The record is from RNAcentral.
AGAACGAACGCUGGCGGCAUGCCUAACACAUGCAAGUCGAACGAGACCUUCGGGUCUAGUGGCGCACGGGUGCGUAACGCGUGGGAAUCUGCCCUUAGGUUCGGAAUAACAGUUAGAAAUGACUGCUAAUACCGGAUAAUGACGUAAGUCCAAAGAUUUAUCGCCUAGGGAUGAGCCCGCGUAAGAUUAGCUAGUUGGUGGGGUAAAGGCCUACCAAGGCUACGAUCUUUAGCUGGUCUGAGAGGAUGAUCAGCCACACUGGGACUGAGACACGGCCCAGACUCCUACGGGAGGCAGCAGUGGGGAAUAUUGGACAAUGGGCGAAAGCCUGAUCCAGCAAUGCCGCGUGAGUGAUGAAGGCCUUAGGGUUGUAAAGCUCUUUUACCCGGGAUGAUAAUGACAGUACCGGGAGAAUAAGCUCCGGCUAACUCCGUGCCAGCAGCCGC